UGGGGAAUAUUGGACAAUGGGCGAAAGCCUGACCCAGCCAUGCCGCGUGUGUGAAGAAGGUCUUCGGAUUGUAAAGCACUUUAAGUUGGGAGGAAGGGCAGUAAGUUAAUACCUUGCUGUUUUGACGUUACCGACAGAAUAAGCACCGGCUAACUCUGUGCCAG
This 164-nucleotide ribosomal RNA is filed under the name uncultured bacterium. Its description in RNAcentral is "partial 16S ribosomal RNA". It matches the Rfam family "Bacterial small subunit ribosomal RNA", at positions 355 to 511 of the family's 1533-position model. The record is from RNAcentral.